Molecule: long non-coding RNA, 283 nt
Filed under: Ictidomys tridecemlineatus (thirteen-lined ground squirrel)
Lineage: Eukaryota; Metazoa; Chordata; Mammalia; Rodentia; Sciuridae
Description: lncRNA (ENSSTOG00000032646.1)
Source: RNAcentral
GGCCGCGCGGAACCAUGUCGGCCAAGGUGCGGCUCAAGAAGCUGGAGCAGCUGCUCCUGGACGGGCCCUGGCGCAACGAGAGCGCCGUGAGCGUGGAGACGCUGCUCGACGUGCUCGUGUGCCUCUACACCGAGUGCAGUCACUCGGCGCUGCGCCGCGACAAGUACGUGGCCGAGUUCCUCGAGUGGGCAUUGGAUCUUGAAAUCUGUGAGAUUUCACAGCCAGGCUCAGCUGAGUGCACAGAGGUGGGUAAAACUCUACUUAAGGGAGGAAGCAGAGGAAG